GCGGAUAUGGUGGAAUUGGUAGACACGCACGUUUGAGGGGCGUGUGGAUUGACCGUGCGAGUUCAAAUCUCGCUAUCCGCA
RNAcentral lists this transfer RNA (81 nucleotides) under Cyanophora sudae. Its description in RNAcentral is "tRNA-Leu". It matches the Rfam family "tRNA". Rfam says of the family: Transfer RNA (tRNA) molecules are approximately 80 nucleotides in length. Lineage: Eukaryota; Glaucocystophyceae; Cyanophorales; Cyanophoraceae. The record is from RNAcentral.